GCAGGGCUCAGUUUGGUCGUGCAUAUAACAAAAGUUUGGAAUAAAACGAAGAGGAUUAACAUGGCCUCUACACAAAGAGAACAUACAAAUUCAUGAAGUGCUCUGUAUUUUU
Small nuclear RNA from Cebus imitator (Panamanian white-faced capuchin), 112 nucleotides. Lineage: Eukaryota; Metazoa; Chordata; Mammalia; Primates; Cebidae. The record is from Ensembl.